UACGAAGGGGGCUAGCGUUGCUCGGAAUCACUGGGCGUAAAGGGUGCGUAGGCGGGUUUUUAAGUCAGAGGUGAAAUCCUGGAGCUCAACUCCAGAACUGCCUUUGAUACUGAAAGUCUUGAGUAUGGGAGAGGUGAGUGGAACUGCGAGUGUAGAGGUGAAAUUCGUAGAUAUUCGCAAGAACACCAGUGGCGAAGGCGGCUCACUGGCUCGACACUGACGCUGAGGUGCGAAAGCGUGGGGAGCAAACAGG
Molecule: ribosomal RNA, 253 nt
Filed under: uncultured bacterium
Lineage: Bacteria
Description: partial 16S ribosomal RNA
Rfam family: Bacterial small subunit ribosomal RNA
Source: RNAcentral